UAACGGCGAGUGAAGCGGGAACAGCUCAAAUUUGAAAUCUGGCCUUCGGGUCCGAAUUGUAAUUUGCAGAGGAUGCUUUUGGUUAGGUACUUUCCGAGUUCCCUGGAACGGGACGCCUUAGAGGGUGAGAGCCCCGUACGGUUGGAUACCGAGCCUUUGUAAAGCUCCUUCGACGAGUCGAGUAGUUUGGGAAUGCUGCUCUAAAUGGGAGGUAAAUUUCUUCUAAAGCUAAAUACCGGCCAGAGACCGAUAGCGCACAAGUAGAGUGAUCGAAAGAUGAAAAGCACUUUGAAAAGAGGGUUAAAUAGCACGUGAAAUUGUUGAAAGGGAAGCGUUUAUGACCAGACUUUUUCCAGGCGAAUCAUCCGGUGUUCUCGCCGGUGCACUUCGUCUGGUUGAGGCCAGCAUCGGUUUUCGUGGGGGGAUAAAAGCGGUGGGAAUGUGACUCCUCCGGGAGUGUUAUAGCCCGCCGUAUAAUACCUCCAUGGGGACCGAGGUUCGCGCUCUGCAAGGAUGCUGGCGUAAUGGUCAUCAACGACCCGUCUUGAAACACGGACCAAGGAGUCGAACAUUUGUGCGAGUGUUUGGGUGUUAAACCCUCACGCGUAAUGAAAGUGAACGGAGGUGAGAGCCCUUACGGGUGCAUCAUCGACCGAUCCUGAUGUUUUCGGAUGGAUUUGAGUAAGAGCAUAACUGUUCGGACCCGAAAGAUGGUGAACUAUGCGUGGAUAGGGUGAAGCCAGAGGAAACUCUGGUGGAGGCUCGCAGCGGUUCUGACGUGCAAAUCGAUCGUCAAAUCUGCGCAUGGGGCGAAAGAC
Molecule: ribosomal RNA, 818 nt
Filed under: Beltrania rhombica
Lineage: Eukaryota; Fungi; Ascomycota; Sordariomycetes; Amphisphaeriales; Beltraniaceae
Description: partial large subunit ribosomal RNA
Rfam family: Eukaryotic large subunit ribosomal RNA
Source: RNAcentral